This 741-nucleotide long non-coding RNA is filed under the name Pongo abelii (Sumatran orangutan). RNAcentral's name for it is "lincRNA". Lineage: Eukaryota; Metazoa; Chordata; Mammalia; Primates; Hominidae. The record is from RNAcentral.
GAGGCAUCACAAAAGUGGCCACGAGAGGCAGGUGAAGGCCCCCAAAGUCUCCACCAUCGUCCGCCUCAGAAAAUCACUUGUCUGAUGCUCAGGCAGAGCCCAGCAAACACCCCAACCCCCUGGAGGUGCCACGAGGAAAGGAGUGUCUUCAGAGAGCUUCCGGGGGAGCCAGCCCUAUGAAGCCCUCCACGUUCACCAGGAGUUCAUCGCAGCUGCAGCCAGGCUGGGAAGGAGAGGUGGCCGCAGGCAGGCAGCGUGUCUGUUCCGGAUGAAACCGCAGCCCCAGCCCUGCCCCCUGGAGCCCUCUCUGGCGCUGGGUGGACAAAGCUGCAGUGCACAGGCCAGAGAAGGCCAAGGAGCCACCCAGGUGAGGCCCGAGCUGCCUGGAGUCAUCUGUGUGGACCCCAGGCCACGUAACUGCCUCAGCACACCCGACCUCCAACUCACAUUCCUCACAGGCGUCCCGGGAAAGGGGACCACCCACUCAGCAGGAGCUCCCUGAGCCAGCUCUGUGGAUGGAGCAAACUGACUUGGAAAUCAAAGUGAUGCCCAGACGAAGCAAGAGACAGCCCCGGACCAGCCCCCGGGCCACACCCGCGCACCAGCCAGGACCAGGCCCCGCGGAGGCUCGCUGGGAAGCUGGUGCUGUGUUGUUUCCCCGCCAGCUGCUUGCUUCCUCCCGGGCUCACUGGAGUGCAAACUGCUUUCGCUUGUUUGAAAUGGAAAUUUUUUCCUCUCUUU